UACGUAGGGGGCAAGCGUUGUCCGGAAUCAUUGGGCGUAAAGCGCGUGUAGGCGGCUUGGCAAGUCGGAUGUGAAAGCCCACGGCUCAACCGUGGAAGCGCAUCCGAAACGGCCUCGCUCGAGUCUCGGAGAGGAAGGUGGAAUGCUUGGUGUAGAGGUGAAAUUCGUAGAUAUCGAGAGGAACACCGGUGGCGAAGGCGGCUUUCUGGACGAUUACUGACGCUGAGACGCGAAAGCGUGGGGAGCAAACAGG
This 253-nucleotide ribosomal RNA is filed under the name uncultured bacterium. RNAcentral describes it as "partial 16S ribosomal RNA". It matches the Rfam family "Bacterial small subunit ribosomal RNA", at positions 524 to 776 of the family's 1533-position model. The record is from RNAcentral.